RNAcentral lists this ribosomal RNA (520 nucleotides) under uncultured bacterium. RNAcentral describes it as "bacterial SSU rRNA". It matches the Rfam family "Bacterial small subunit ribosomal RNA", at positions 120 to 674 of the family's 1533-position model. The record is from RNAcentral.
GGGAAUCUACCGUGCCCUGCGGAAUAGCUCCGGGAAACUGGAAUUAAUACCGCAUACGCCCUACGGGGGAAAGAUUUAUCGGGGUAUGAUGAGCCCGCGUUGGAUUAGCUAGUUGGUGGGGUAAAGGCCUACCAAGGCGACGAUCCAUAGCUGGUCUGAGAGGAUGAUCAGCCACAUUGGGACUGAGACACGGCCCAAACUCCUACGGGAGGCAGCAGUGGGGAAUAUUGGACAAUGGGCGCAAGCCUGAUCCAGCCAUGCCGCGUGAGUGAUGAAGGCCUUAGGGUUGUAAAGCUCUUUCACCGGAGAAGAUAAUGACGGUAUCCGGAGAAGAAGCCCCGGCUAACUUCGUGCCAGCAGCCGCGGUAAUACGAAGGGGGCUAGCGUUGUUCGGAAUUACUGGGCGUAAAGCGCACGUAGGCGGAUAUUUAAGUCAGGGGUGAAAUCCCAGAGCUCAACUCUGGAACUGCCUUUGAUACUGGGUAUCUUGAGUAUGGAAGAGGUAAGUGGAAUCGCGAGU